RNAcentral lists this ribosomal RNA (626 nucleotides) under uncultured organism. Its description in RNAcentral is "bacterial SSU rRNA". It matches the Rfam family "Bacterial small subunit ribosomal RNA", at positions 86 to 711 of the family's 1533-position model. The record is from RNAcentral.
UGCUGACGAGUGACGCACGGGUGAGUAACGCGUAGGUAAUCUACCUAUUGGACUGGGAUAGCGCGUACGAAAGUAGGAUUAAAACCAGAUAUAUUUAUCUAAUCUUAAGAUUAAAUAAAGAAAUGUCUAAGCCGAUAGAUGAGCCUGCGUUAGAUUAGUUAGUAGGUGUGGUAAUGGCGCACCUAGGCAUCGAUCUAUAGCCGAGUUGAGAGGCUAAUCGGCCACAUUGGAACUGAGACACGGUCCAGACUCCUACGGGAGGCAGCAGCUAAGAAUCUUCCGCAAUGGUUGAGAGACUGACGGAGCGACGCCGCGUGAAUGAUGAAGGCCUUUUAGGUUGUAAAAUUCUUUUAUAAUAGAUGAAAGUAUAGAUAUAGUUUAUGCUGACCGUAUAUUAUGAAUAAGGUCCGGCUAACUACGUGCCAGCAGCCGCGGUAAAACGUAGGGACCUAGCGUUGUUCGGAAUUACUGGGCGUAAAGGGUAUGCAGGCUGUUAUAUAAGUCAGAUGUGAAAGACCCGGGCUCAACCUUGGAAUUGCGUCUGAUACUGUAUAACUUGGGUAGCUGAGAGGAAGUCGGAAUUCCUGGUGUAGGGGUGACAUCUCUAGAUAUCAGGAAGAACACCA